This 377-nucleotide unclassified non-coding RNA is filed under the name uncultured Chloroflexota bacterium. Its description in RNAcentral is "uncultured Chloroflexi bacterium contains 16S-23S intergenic spacer region". Lineage: Bacteria; Bacillati; Chloroflexota. The record is from RNAcentral.
UCCGACUUGAAGGUCGGCAGUCUCGUUAGAGUUCCCAACUUAAUGCUGGCAACUAACAACAAGGGUUGCGCUCGUUGCGGGACUUAACCCAACAUCUCACGGCACGAGCUGACGACAGCCAUGCACCACCUGUGAUGCGGCUCCGAAGAGGGACCGUGUUUCCACGGUUUUCCACAACAUGUCAAGCCUAGGCAAGGUUCUUCGCGUCGCAUCGAAUUAAACCACACGCUCCGCUGCUUGUGCGGGCCCCCGCCUAUUCCUUUGAGUUUUAACCUUGCGGCCGUAGUCCCCAGGCGGUGAACUUAAUGCGUUAGCUGCGGCACUGAUCGGGUCAAUCCGACCAACACCUAGUUCACAACGUUUAGGGCGUGGACUAC